Molecule: non-coding RNA, 70 nt
Organism: Streptomyces sp. TSRI0281
Lineage: Bacteria; Bacillati; Actinomycetota; Actinomycetes; Kitasatosporales; Streptomycetaceae
Source: Rfam
GAGAGCCGGAUGAUGGGAAACCAUCACGUCCGGUUCGGCGGGAGGCCGUGCGGAAAAGGGUCUGCCCAGC